CACCCUGCUCCUCCUUGGGUCUUCAUUCCUCUGGCCAGCAUUGGUGUUCCUUACUAGAGCUGGAGGGAUCUGGACAGAGGAAUGAAGACCCAAGGAGGAGCAGGGUGCAC
Molecule: microRNA precursor, 110 nt
Filed under: Marmota monax (woodchuck)
Lineage: Eukaryota; Metazoa; Chordata; Mammalia; Rodentia; Sciuridae
Source: RNAcentral